AUACGGAGGGGGCUAGCGUUGUUCGGAAUUACUGGGCGUAAAGCGCGCGUAGGCGGCCUGUCAAGUUGGGCGUGAAAGCCCGGGGCUCAACCCCGGAAUUGCGUUCAAAACUGGCAAGCUAGAGACCGAGAGAGGUGAGUGGAAUUCCCAGUGUAGAGGUGAAAUUCGUAGAUAUUGGGAAGAACACCAGUGGCGAAGGCGGCUCACUGGCUCGGUACUGACGCUGAGGUGCGAAAGCGUGGGGAGCAAACAGGAUUAGAAACCCGGGUAGUCC
RNAcentral lists this ribosomal RNA (274 nucleotides) under uncultured bacterium. RNAcentral's name for it is "partial 16S ribosomal RNA". It matches the Rfam family "Bacterial small subunit ribosomal RNA", at positions 523 to 796 of the family's 1533-position model. The record is from RNAcentral.